AGAGUUUGAUCAUGGCUCAGGAUGAACGCUGGCGGUCUGCUUAACACAUGCAAGUCGAACGGAGUAGAAAUACUUAGUGGCGGACGGGUGAGUAACGCGUGAGAAUCUGCCUUCAGGACGGAGACAACAGUUGGAAACGACUGCUAAGCCCCGAUGUACCGAAAGGGAAAAUAUUUAUAGCCUGAAGAUGAGCUCGCGUCCGAUUAGCUAGUUGGCGGAGUAAAAGCCCACCAAGGCGACGAUCGGUAGCUGGUCUGAGAGGACGAUCAGCCACACUGGGACUGAGACACGGCCCAGACUCAUACGGGAGGCAGCAGUGGGGAAUUUUCCGCAAUGGGCGAAAGCCUGACGGAGCAAGACCGCGUGGGGGAAGAAGGCUCUUGGGUUGUAAACCCCUUUUCUCUGGGAAGAAAGUUGUGAAAGCAACCUGACGGUACCAGAGGAAUCAGCAUCGGCUAACUCCGUGCCAGCAGCCGCGGUAAGACGGAGGAUGCAAGCGUUAUCCGGAAUGAUUGGGCGUAAAGCGUCCGCAGGUGGCAGUUCAAGUCUGCUGUCAAAGACCGGGGCUUAACUUCGGAAAGGCAGUGGAAACUGAACAGCUAGAGUAUGGUAGGGGCAGAGGGAAUUCCUGGUGUAGCGGUGAAAUGCGUAGAGAUCAGGAAGAACAUCGGUGGCGAAGGCGCUCUGCUGGACCAUAACUGACACUCAGGGACGAAAGCUAGGGGAGCGAAUGGGAUUAGAUACCCCGGUAGUCC
This 755-nucleotide ribosomal RNA is filed under the name uncultured cyanobacterium. RNAcentral's name for it is "bacterial SSU rRNA". It matches the Rfam family "Bacterial small subunit ribosomal RNA", at positions 8 to 796 of the family's 1533-position model. The record is from RNAcentral. Lineage: Bacteria; Bacillati; Cyanobacteriota.